This 497-nucleotide ribosomal RNA is filed under the name uncultured bacterium. Its description in RNAcentral is "partial 16S ribosomal RNA". It matches the Rfam family "Bacterial small subunit ribosomal RNA", at positions 28 to 507 of the family's 1533-position model. The record is from RNAcentral.
GAUGAACGCUGGCGGCGUGCCUAAUACAUGCAAGUCGAGCGAACGGACGAGAAGCUUGCUUUUCUGAUGUUAGCGGCGGACGGGUGAGUAACACGUGGAUAACCUACCUAUAAGACUGGGAUAACUUCGGGAAACCGGAGCUAAUACCGGAUAAUAUUUUGAACCGCAUGGUUCAAAAGUGAAAGACGGUCUUGCUGUCACUUAUAGAUGGAUCCGCGCUGCAUUAGCUAGUUGGUAAGGUAACGGCUUACCAAGGCAACGAUGCAUAGCCGACCUGAGAGGGUGGUCGGCCACACUGGAACUGAGCCACGGUCCAGACUCCUCCGGGAGGCAGCAGUAGGGAAUCUUCCGCAAUGGGCGAAAGCCUGACGGAACACCGCCGCGUGGGUGAUGAAGGUCUUCGGAUCGUAAUACUCUGUUAUUAGGGAAGAACAUAUGUGUAAGUAACUGUGCACAUCUUGACGGUACCUAAUCAGAAAGCCCCGGCUAACUACGUG